ACUGUACUGAAGGGCUCAACAGCAGCUCAGAUGCUUCUGAAGAAACAAAUAGGAAAUACAGAACUUAAGAAAGACAUCAUUCCCUGUGUUCUGAAAGGCAAGAUGAAGGGCCAGGGACAUAGUAGAUGUACAACAAAUACUGACUUCACUUUAAACAAACUGUCCGGAAUGGUUAAAAACAGAGUUUAAGUGCUGGACUAGGCCCACGAAUUUGAAAAAUUCCAUUUCCUCCUCCGCCCUUUUGCCCUGCCUUAUGGGUGUGCAAUGAGGAAGUGCCUCAUUGCCCGACAGUGAGGCAGAUGUAGAACAGGCUAUUUUUUGCUGGCUUCUGAGUCACUAAGAGUUGUCCCAGUGAAUCAGCUCACCCCGCCUCCUCUCCUUCCCUUUGUUAACCCACCACUACCCAUUCUACUCCCAGGCUGACCUGGCACCUACUUCCUUCAUAGCAACUGGUGGCUCCCCAGAUUUUCUGAGCUCCUGCUGACUUUCCUCAGUGCGUGUGGGAGGACCCAGCAAGAAUGAGAUCAUCCCUGCCUGAUGUGGGAAAUGAGGCCUAGAGAAGAUAAGUGAUUUACCUAAGAGGUACAGCCAGCAGGUAACCCUGGAUUGCUCACCAAACCACAGAGUGCCGGGGGUUCUAUGAAAACUGUGGUUCAUCACUUCAGAGCAUUAAUUUUACUCAGUGGCAGUCAUUAUUUCACCAUUUUAAAGAUGGUACAACUGAGAUUAAGAAAAUUUAAGCCAUAAGUUGAUUUGAUCACCAGUGUGAUUUUGAGUUCCCUACUCCUUUCAUCAUAUUGUGUCAAGGAUUUGAAGGAGACAAGGCUCCAGGACCCUGCCAGAAGCCGGGAGAUGCAACUUGCAGGGACCAAUUUCCUCACUGUAUGAUACAGAAUUGAGCAAAGGAAGGGUGACCAAUGGAUCUGAGGAUGCAGCAUGUUUCACUGACAUGGACUUUGAGCAAGUGGAUUGGAACUUACCUGUUGGUCUAUACAACGCUGUGUGUGCUAAGUUGCUCCAAUUGUGUCUGACUCUUUGUGACCCUAUGGACUACAGUUCACCAGGCUCCUCUGUCCAUGGGAUUCUCCAGGUAAGAAAACUGUAGUGGGUUGCCAUGCCCUUCUCCAGGGGAUCUUCCCGACCCAGGGAUCGAACUCGCAUCUCCUGCAUUGGCAGGCAGAUUCUUUACCACUAGUGCCAACUGGGAAGCCCCUGCACCACACUAGAAGUUUGUAGCCCCAAGUUUGUAAAUUUACUAAAGAUAUUAGAUCCUUUCCCCACCAUGCCCUAAAAAUUUGUGCUUCUCUAACUAGACACACAGUCCAUAGGAAGCCUCCAGAGUUGAAAUUCUCCUGGGAAUAGUACUUGCUCUUAGAACUUGACAAGUUUCCCCACUGAAAGAGAUUAAUCCAUCCAUCCAGGAUUGAACAUGUGAGCAAGUGAGUCUGUAAGCAAGACCCUCCAAUGAACUUGCAUCUUGUACAAUAAUCUAGAAGCUCUGGGCCUAUGAAAGGAGGCAGAUUGCUGUGGGGCAAGGGAGUGGAUGCCCCUGGACUCAGACUCUCUUUUGUCUCAGCUACUCACAACAGACUAGGGUUUGAGCCACAUCUCAGGACACAGUGUGACUGUGCAGGCUUGUGCAGACCCUGGAUGAGACCCACCUGUGGUGUGGGACAUGUCUGAAGGAAACAGCUUUAAGUACCUGAAUGGUAGGGAGCACAGCCCAGGGGUGCAGUCAGCGCGGGUGAUGGUGUUGACCAGGGAGGGAACAGGUCUGAUGGGAGACAUCCUGGCAGGUGGCUUUAGCAGACAAAGAAUCCAGCUCAUGUGAUUCUUAGAAGUCAGGCAAGCAUGAGGCUCAUCAAGCACAUCUUGUUUCUUACAGCAUUUAUUUAUUUACAACACCUUGUUAUUUCAAAAACAAUCUCAUAUGACUUUGUUAUAUAGAUGUUACUAAAAUCAUUCCUGAACUUUUGACCAUUAAUGUAAAAUAUGUAAAAUGAACAGUAUAGACUGUGGCUGCAAAACUGCUAUAAUGGAUACAUUGAACCAGAACUCUACUCCCAGAAACUUUAAUUUUGAUAUAAUUUCACACUUAGAGAAAAGUUGUUAUCCUUUUGCAAUUGCUUUAUUAUGCUAUCAGGUGUUUCUGAAUGAAGGGGCAGCACAGGAGCCAUCAGGCUGGGGAAAGUGGUGUCAGCCUUCAGGGGACAUGCAACCACAGGCAAGGUGGCCCUGGAGAGACAGGGGGCAGAGGUGGUCAGCAGGACUGCAGAACAUGUGCUGAACUGGCCGUGGUGUAAUUGUCCAGAGGCAUGGAGUACUUAAAGCCCAGUUUGGCCACCUCUAGUUCUUCUAUCUUUGGAAAACUGCUGACCCUCUCUGAGCUUCCAUUUCUUCCUGGGUAAAUGGGAAUGUAGUAAUAUCUUGGUAAGUAGCAAUAUCUACUAUAGCAGAUCUCUUGUGAAGAUGGAAUGAGCUGAUGUGUGUAAAGUACCUUACAGAGCCUGGCACAUUAAUGCCAGUUAUUGAGUUAGUGCUUAAUAAACAGUAGUUAUUAAUAAGUUUGAUGAUGGUGAUUAGCAUAAUAAAGAGGUUGAGACUGGAACCAGAAGCCUGGCCCAGCGUGACAUGGCAGGUGAGGCCAGCGGGUUGGGCCUGCAGGAGCUGGGAGGGGCACAGGACAUGCAUUCCAGGCAGGAAUCAUGCUUCCCUGGGCUUCAUGGCGUGACUGCUGGUGUGGAGAGGACCGUGUGAAGAAUUCUUCUGCUUGAGAAACCAAGUUCCUCCAAUCAAACUCCAGGGGUUGGGGAUUCUGGGUAAGGAAAGAUGAAAACUUGACAGCCAUAGAAUGCCUCUCCCUUGGCCAGAGGAAGGAUGAAUGGAAUAUUUGAGAUGCUGGAAGCCCUCCUACAUGGUAAGUUCGAAGAAAUGUCUCGCUUCUCUGAGGAUUCCAAACGGACUUUGCAAAAAUGUAAUUAAGUUCCAAGUCCCUGGAAAUCAAUCAUGCUCCCAGGAACUAAUACCUUGUCUUGUUGAUUAGAAGUGAGGGGAGCCAGGGGCAAUUACUCUCUGAUGAAGGAAAUUCUUUGCUCAGAGAUCCAAGGACUCAGAGA
Long non-coding RNA from Bubalus bubalis (water buffalo), 3116 nucleotides. RefSeq lists it as uncharacterized. Lineage: Eukaryota; Metazoa; Chordata; Mammalia; Artiodactyla; Bovidae. The record is from RefSeq and is a predicted model, not a curated record. The transcript is spliced from 6 exons.